GAUGAAGAACGUAGCUAAAUGCGAUAAAUAAUGUGAAUUGCAGAAUUCAGUGAAUCAUCGAGUCUUUGAACGCACAUUGCGCCCCCUGGUAUUCCGGGGGGCAUGCCUGUCCGAGCGUCAUUGCUGCCCUCAAGCACGGCUUGUGUGUUGGGCCCCCGUCCCCCCCUCCCGGGGGACGGGCCCGAAAGGCAGCGGCGGCACCGCGUCCGGUCCUCGAGCGUAUGGGGCUUUGUCACCCGCUCUGUAGGCCCGGCCGGCGCCUGCCGACCACCAUCAAUCUUUUUUCAGGUUGACCUCGGAUCAGGUAGGGAUACCCGCUGAACUUAAGCAUAUCAAUAAGCGGAGGA
Molecule: unclassified non-coding RNA, 347 nt
Filed under: soil metagenome
Description: partial contains 5.8S ribosomal RNA, internal transcribed spacer 2, and large subunit ribosomal RNA
Rfam family: 5.8S ribosomal RNA (bases 1-120)
Source: RNAcentral